AAUAAUAGAAAGAGAAAAAGGAUAAAGAUCCAAUCUCUCAUCGAUUUGGUACUAACAUAAUCUCGAUUCCUAAU
This 74-nucleotide transfer RNA is filed under the name Ginkgo biloba (maidenhair tree). RNAcentral describes it as "tRNA-Asp". The record is from RNAcentral. Lineage: Eukaryota; Viridiplantae; Streptophyta; Ginkgoopsida; Ginkgoales; Ginkgoaceae.